GCAGACACAUUCCAGCCAAUCAGCAGCAGACCCUCCCUCCCAGACCCUCCCACCUCCUGGACAGCUCACUAAGAAUGCAGCUUCAUAAUGAAUGUAAAAUGGAUGCUGUCCAGGAGGUGGGAGGGUCUGGGAGGGAGGGUCUGCUGCUGAUUGGCUGCAAUGUGUCUG
This 168-nucleotide microRNA precursor is filed under the name Pelobates cultripes (western spadefoot toad). Lineage: Eukaryota; Metazoa; Chordata; Amphibia; Anura; Pelobatidae. The record is from RNAcentral.